This 527-nucleotide ribosomal RNA is filed under the name uncultured Comamonadaceae bacterium. RNAcentral describes it as "bacterial SSU rRNA". It matches the Rfam family "Bacterial small subunit ribosomal RNA", at positions 8 to 526 of the family's 1533-position model. Lineage: Bacteria; Pseudomonadati; Pseudomonadota; Betaproteobacteria; Burkholderiales; Comamonadaceae. The record is from RNAcentral.
AGAGUUUGAUCCUGGUUCAGAUUGAACGCUGGCGGCAUGCCUUACACAUGCAAGUCGAACGGCAGCACGGGAGCAAUCCUGGUGGCGAGUGGCGAACGGGUGAGUAAUAUAUCGGAACGUGCCCAAUCGUGGGGGAUAACGCAGCGAAAGCUGUGCUAAUACCGCAUACGAUCUACGGAUGAAAGCGGGGGACUCAGCAAUGGGCCUCGCGCGAAUGGAGCGGCCGAUAUCAGAUUAGCUAGUUGGUGGGGUAAAGGCUCACCAAGGCGACGAUCUGUAGCUGGUCUGAGAGGACGACCAGCCACACUGGAACUGAGACACGGUCCAGACUCCUACGGGAGGCAGCAGUGGGGAAUUUUGGACAAUGGGCGCAAGCCUGAUCCAGCAAUGCCGCGUGCAGGAUGAAGGCCUUCGGGUUGUAAACUGCUUUUGUACGGAACGAAAAGAUUCCUUCUAAUAAAGGGGGUUCAUGACGGUACCGUAAGAAUAAGCACCGGCUAACUACGUGCCAGCAGCCGCGGUAAUAC